GGGCCCACACAAGCGGUGGAGCAUGUGGUUUAAUUCGAUGAUACGCGAGGAACCUUACCAGGGCUUAAAUGUAAGUUGCAUAGACCAGAGAUGGUCUUUUCUUCGGACUACUUACAAGGUGCUGCAUGGUUGUCGUCAGCUCGUGCCGUGAGGUGUCAGGUUAAGUCCUAUAACGAGCGCAACCCCUGUCGUUAGUUGCCAUCAAGUAAAGUUGGGUACUCUAGCGAGACUGCCGGUGCAAACCGUGAGGAAGGUGGGAUGACGUCAAAUCAUCACGGCCCUUACGUCCUGGCUACACACGUGCUACAAUGGCCGGUACAGAGAGCAGCCACUACGCGAGUAGGAG
Molecule: ribosomal RNA, 346 nt
Filed under: uncultured bacterium
Lineage: Bacteria
Description: bacterial SSU rRNA
Rfam family: Bacterial small subunit ribosomal RNA
Source: RNAcentral